AUGGUAUGUUCGCCUGCCAUGCCCGUCGACCAAGUGGCGCGUCGGCGCUAUGUCUCUUGCCUUGACCCGGCCGUGUCACUGCACUAUGACGUGUUCCUUUUCCAUGAGGAUAUGCUGGCUGAGGAGUGGUUGUCAGCGAGGCACAAGAAGCCCGAAGAAGCUACUUCAUUUGGAAGUGUACUCGUCGCGCACCGGCCAGUGGGAGUUCCGAGAAUUUACGCCCGGACGUUGUGCCCCAAGCCACCUCUACCACGUGGUGGCUAG
RNAcentral lists this ribosomal RNA (264 nucleotides) under Triticum aestivum (bread wheat). RNAcentral's name for it is "partial small subunit ribosomal RNA". Lineage: Eukaryota; Viridiplantae; Streptophyta; Magnoliopsida; Poales; Poaceae. The record is from RNAcentral.